RNAcentral lists this ribosomal RNA (253 nucleotides) under uncultured bacterium. Its description in RNAcentral is "partial 16S ribosomal RNA". It matches the Rfam family "Bacterial small subunit ribosomal RNA", at positions 524 to 776 of the family's 1533-position model. The record is from RNAcentral.
UACAGAGGUCCCAAGCGUUGUUCGGAUUCACUGGGCGUAAAGGGUGCGUAGGCGGUCGGGUAAGUCUGAUGUGAAAUCUCACAGCUUAACUGUGAAACUGCAUUGGAUACUAUCCGGCUCGAGGAAUGGAGGGGAGACUGGAGUACUUGGUGUAGCAGUGAAAUGCGUAGAUAUCAAGUGGAACACCAGUGGUGAAGGCGAGUCUCUGGACAUUUCCUGACGCUGAGGCACGAAAGCCAGGGGAGCAAACGGG